This 450-nucleotide ribosomal RNA is filed under the name uncultured bacterium. Its description in RNAcentral is "bacterial SSU rRNA". It matches the Rfam family "Bacterial small subunit ribosomal RNA", at positions 354 to 796 of the family's 1533-position model. The record is from RNAcentral.
GUGGGGAAUAUUGCACAAUGGGGGAAACCCUGAUGCAGCCAUGCCGCGUGUGUGAAGAAGGCCUUCGGGUUGUAAAGCACUUUCAGCGAGGAGGAAAGGUUGGUAGCUAAUAACUGCCAGCUGUGACGUUACUCGCAGAAGAAGCACCGGCUAACUCCGUGCCAGCAGCCGCGGUAAUACGGAGGGUGCAAGCGUUAAUCGGAAUUACUGGGCGUAAAGCGCACGCAGGCGGUUGGAUAAGUUAGAUGUGAAAGCCCCGGGCUCAACCUGGGAAUUGCAUUUAAAACUGUCCAGCUAGAGUCUUGUAGAGGGGGGUAGAAUUCCAGGUGUAGCGGUGAAAUGCGUAGAGAUCUGGAGGAAUACCGGUGGCGAAGGCGGCCCCCUGGACAAAGACUGACGCUCAGGUGCGAAAGCGUGGGGAGCAAACAGGAUUAGAAACCCCAGUAGUCC